CUCGAGCUGAGAUUUAAAAUCAGCUCAACCGCCUUUAUUCCUCCCGGAUGUUUACUCUGACGCAAUGAGUAUGGUCAGCCUGUGAAUGUCGCCAAAGCUGUUGUGGAAGGGACUGAACUCAGCUCUUCGGAAUCUAUCUGUAUACUCCAACUUUGUGCUUUCCUAGAGACUCACUUUCUGCCUGAGGAGGAUUCAGAAUUUCCUGUAGACAUGCAACCAGAUCCAAACGUGACUUCAUGUACAGAAAACGUUUCUGCAGCAAAAUUUGACUACAAGCUAAACAAUAUUUUCAGACUUCAUGAACUCCCAGUGAGCUGGCUUGCAUCUCCUAUGACCUGCUGUGUGUGAGAGAGGGAAAUGGAGUUCAAAGAGAAGUGGAUCAGCUCACGCUGCUCUUGUCAUUGUCUUGCUACAGUCUCCCAAGGAAACUUCCUUCACAGCGGUCAACACUUCUGCAUGUGGUUUACCUUCAACUCCUGAACAAUGGAAGAUGUCUUUCACAACUGCCUUCUGCAUUGAAUGACAAGCCCUGUUACAAAGAUAUGAGGCAGAAAGUAGUUGUUAAGGAUACCUCUCACAUGGAUGAACACAUUUUCACAUGCAAACAGAUAUACAUAUAACACAUGCAGAUAUACAAUAUUACUUGGAAUAUUCUAAUUGAUGUGUAUAUCUACUAGAAUUAUAUAUGAUGUUUGUUUAGUAAUAAAUACAUGAAAGUAGAAUGACUACCCUGGUUA
This 737-nucleotide long non-coding RNA is filed under the name Mus spicilegus (steppe mouse). Its description in RNAcentral is "lncRNA (ENSMSIG00000002660.1)". Lineage: Eukaryota; Metazoa; Chordata; Mammalia; Rodentia; Muridae. The record is from RNAcentral.